Molecule: ribosomal RNA, 460 nt
Filed under: uncultured bacterium
Lineage: Bacteria
Description: partial 16S ribosomal RNA
Rfam family: Bacterial small subunit ribosomal RNA
Source: RNAcentral
CCUACGAGAGGCAGCAGUGAGGAAUAUUGGUCAAUGGCCGCAAGGCUGAACCAGCCAAGUCGCGUGAAGGAAGACGGUGCUAUGGAUUGUAAACCUCUUUUGUCAAGGGGCCAAAGACGCCACGCGUGGCGUUCCGAGGGUACCCGAAGAAAAAGCAUCGGCUAACUCCGUGCCAGCAGCCGCGGUAAUACGGAGGGUGCAAGCGUUACUCGGAAUUACUGGGCGUAAAGAGUGCGCAGGCGGGCUUGUAAGGCAGAUGUGAAAUCCUGUAGCUUAACUACAGAACUGCAUUUGAAACUAUGAGUCUAGAGUGUGGGAGAGGUAGGUGGAAUUCUUGGUGUAGGGGUAAAAUCCGUAGAUAUCAAGAGGAAUACUCAUUGCGAAGGCGACCUACUGGAACAUUACUGACGCUCAUGCACGAAAGCGUGGGGAGCAAACAGGAUUAGAUACCCCGGUAGUC